CCUACGGGUGGCAGCAGUGGGGAAUAUUGGACAAUGGGGGCAACCCUGAUCCAGCCAUGCCGCGUGUGUGAAGAAGGCCCUCGGGUUGUAAAGCACUUUCAGUGAGGAAGAACGCCUGGUGGUUAAUACCCAUCAGGAAAGACAUCACUCACAGAAGAAGCACCGGCUAACUCCGUGCCAGCAGCCGCGGUAAUACGGAGGGUGCGAGCGUUAAUCGGAAUUACUGGGCGUAAAGCGCGCGUAGGUGGCUUGAUAAGCCGGUUGUGAAAGCCCCGGGCUCAACCUGGGAACGGCAUCCGGAACUGUCAAGCUAGAGUGCAGGAGAGGAAGGUAGAAUUCCCGGUGUAGCGGUGAAAUGCGUAGAGAUCGGGAGGAAUACCAGUGGCGAAGGCGGCCUUCUGGACUGAAACUGACACUGAGGUGCGAAAGCGUGGGUAGCAAACAGGAUUAGAUACCCCGGUAGUC
Molecule: ribosomal RNA, 465 nt
Filed under: Vreelandella stevensii
Lineage: Bacteria; Pseudomonadati; Pseudomonadota; Gammaproteobacteria; Oceanospirillales; Halomonadaceae
Description: partial 16S ribosomal RNA
Rfam family: Bacterial small subunit ribosomal RNA
Source: RNAcentral